RNA transcript from Propithecus coquereli (Coquerel's sifaka), 483 nucleotides. RefSeq lists it as uncharacterized. NCBI's taxonomy places the organism in Eukaryota, Metazoa, Chordata, Mammalia, Primates, Indriidae. The transcript has a single exon. The record is from RefSeq and is a predicted model, not a curated record.
ACGAGGGAACGCCACGGAGGCAGGCCGGAGCCGCUGCCGUCGCCAGGGCCGGCGGUAGCCAGCGUGAGCUCGCCCGCCAGAAUAUGAAAAAGCAGAGCGACUGGGCUAAGGGAAAACGCCGUGAUGAAGGGCUUUCCGCUGCCGCCCGCAAGCAGAGGGACUCGAGAUCAUGCAGCAGAAGCAGAAAAAGGCAAACGAGAAGAAGGAGGAGCCCAAGCAGCUUUGUGGUUUCCUGUCCAACCCUCUUGCCUGUGUGCCUGGAGCCAGUCCCACCACGCUCGCGUUUCCUCCUGUAGUGCUCACAGGUCCCAGCACCCAUGGCAUUCCCUUUGCCCUGAGUCUGCAGAGGGUCCCUUUCGUGCUUCCUUCCCCUCAGGUAGCCUCUCUCCCCCUGGGCCACUCCUGGGGGUGAGGGGGUUACCCCUUCCCAGUGUUUUUUAUUUUUGUGGGGCUCACCCCAAAGUAUUAAAGGUAGCUUUGUAA